CGGUAGGGGAUGGGGUCGCGGCCCAUUAGGUAGACGGCGAGGUAACGGCUCACCGUGCCUGCGAUGGGUAGCCGGGUUGAGAGACCGACCGGCCACAUUGGGACUGAGAUACGGCCCAGACUCCUACGGGAGGCAGCAGUGGGGAAUUUUGCGCAAUGGGGGGAACCCUGACGCAGCAACGCCGCGUGCGGGAUGAAGGCCUUCGGGUUGUAAACCGCUUUCAGCAGGGAAGAUAGUGACGGUACCUGCAGAAGAAGCCCCGGCUAACUAC
RNAcentral lists this ribosomal RNA (271 nucleotides) under uncultured bacterium. RNAcentral describes it as "partial 16S ribosomal RNA". It matches the Rfam family "Bacterial small subunit ribosomal RNA", at positions 216 to 504 of the family's 1533-position model. The record is from RNAcentral.